AGCAGCCGCGGUAAUUCCAGCUCCAAUAGCGUAUAUUAAAGUUGUUGCAGUUAAAAAGCUCGUAGUUGAACUUCGGGGUUCACCCAUUGGUCAGGCUUAAUUGUCUGUACUGGUGAGAUGAGUCUCUACCUUCUGAGGAACUUUCAUGCCAUUUAUUUGGUGUGAUGGGAAAUCAGGGCUGUUACUUUGAAAAAAUUAGAGUGUUUAAAGCAGGCUAACGUCUGAAUACAUUAGCAUGGAAUAAUGAAAUAGGACGGAUUGAUUCUAUUUCGUUGGUUUCUAGGGUCACCGUAAUGAUUAAUAGGGAUAGUUGGGGGCAUUAGUAUUCAAUUGUCAGAGGUGAAAUUCUUGGAUUUAUUGAAGACUAACUACUGCGAAAGCAUUUGCCAAGGAUGUUUUCAUUAAUCAAGAACGAAAGUUAGGGGAUCGAAGACGAUCAGAUACCGUCGUAGUCUUAACCAUAAACUAUGCCGACUAGGGAUCGGACGAAGUUAAUUUUAUAAUGACGCGUUCGGCACCU
RNAcentral lists this ribosomal RNA (520 nucleotides) under uncultured Diversispora. RNAcentral's name for it is "SSU rRNA". It matches the Rfam family "Eukaryotic small subunit ribosomal RNA", at positions 569 to 1088 of the family's 1831-position model. The record is from RNAcentral. Lineage: Eukaryota; Fungi; Glomeromycota; Glomeromycetes; Diversisporales; Diversisporaceae.